UACAGAGGUCUCAAGCGUUGUUCGGAUUCAUUGGGCGUAAAGGGUGUGUAGGUGGCGCCGUAAGUCGGGUGUGAAAUUUCGGAGCUUAACUCCGAAACUGCAUUCGAUACUGCGGUGCUUGAGGACUGGAGAGGAGACUGGAAUUCAUGGUGUAGCAGUGAAAUGCGUAGAGAUCAUGAGGAACACCGAUGGCGAAGGCAGGUCUCUGGGCUGACACUGACGCUCAUGCACGAAAGCGUGGGGAGCAAACAGG
This 253-nucleotide ribosomal RNA is filed under the name uncultured bacterium. Its description in RNAcentral is "partial 16S ribosomal RNA". It matches the Rfam family "Bacterial small subunit ribosomal RNA", at positions 524 to 776 of the family's 1533-position model. The record is from RNAcentral.